This 23-nucleotide microRNA is filed under the name Heliconius melpomene (postman butterfly). Lineage: Eukaryota; Metazoa; Arthropoda; Insecta; Lepidoptera; Nymphalidae. The record is from RNAcentral.
AGUUUUCACUAAUACAGUUGGCA